Molecule: long non-coding RNA, 211 nt
Filed under: Olea europaea (common olive)
Lineage: Eukaryota; Viridiplantae; Streptophyta; Magnoliopsida; Lamiales; Oleaceae
Description: long non-coding RNA (OEUR_LNC009852)
Source: RNAcentral
GAGUGUUGUCAAAUUGAACACUCCAAACAAUACGAAAAUAUCUGAUCAAGCUAGUCUAAGCAUUGUAAAACUUGUGCUCCUAUGAAAGCAUGAUAAAUCUGGAACUUCAAGGACCCAAACUUUCAAGCAGAACUAACAGUGCAGCCAACAAAUGAAAAAAGAGAACCUUGUGCUCGACCUGUCGAGUAGACCUAAGUUCUCUUACUGACCC